This 241-nucleotide unclassified non-coding RNA is filed under the name uncultured Tricholoma. RNAcentral's name for it is "sequence contains ITS1". Lineage: Eukaryota; Fungi; Basidiomycota; Agaricomycetes; Agaricales; Tricholomataceae. The record is from RNAcentral.
UUGAAUAAGCUUGGUUGGGUUGUUGCUGGCUCUCAGGAGCAUGUGCACGCCUAACACCAACUUUUACCACCUGUGCACAUUUUGUAGACCUGGAUAAAACUCUCGAGGAAACUCGGUUUGAGGAAUGCUGUGCGCAAGCCAGCUUUCCUUGUACUUCUGGUCUAUGUUUUUAUAUAUACACACCCCUAUAGUAUGUCUCGGAAUGUUUGUUUGUUGGGCUUGAAUGCCUUUAAACUUAAUA